UUACUGGGUCCAGUGAAUGCGCCCAAGUGACGUUGGCGUUAGAACAGCUCGCUGCUGUUAUGGGAUGCGACGUCAGGUUGUUUCAGACACCUGAGGUCGAUCUCAUAUUGAUAGCGGCUGAUGUCAUCCGAAACACACGCGCAGCUCAAUCUAAUGAGCAGAUUGUAGCGUUGCGUUUCCGUCAUGAGAUGCUACAGAUGGAAAUCCAAGCCUUAAGGAAUUGCAUCGCUGAGUACCACGUC
Pectinophora gossypiella (pink bollworm) is the source of this 242-nucleotide long non-coding RNA. RefSeq lists it as uncharacterized. The transcript has 3 exons. The record is from RefSeq and is a predicted model, not a curated record. Lineage: Eukaryota; Metazoa; Arthropoda; Insecta; Lepidoptera; Gelechiidae.